RNAcentral lists this ribosomal RNA (497 nucleotides) under uncultured bacterium. RNAcentral's name for it is "partial 16S ribosomal RNA". It matches the Rfam family "Bacterial small subunit ribosomal RNA", at positions 28 to 507 of the family's 1533-position model. The record is from RNAcentral.
GAUGAACGCUGGCGGCGUGCCUAAUACAUGCAGGUCGAGCGAACAGACGAGGAGCUUGCUCCUCUGACGUUAGCGGCGGACGGGUGAGUAACACGUGGAUAACCUACCUAUAAGACUGGGAUAACUUCGGGAAACCGGAGCUAAUACCGGAUAAUAUAUUGAACCGCAUGGUUCAAUAGUGAAAGACGGUUUUGCUGUCACUUAUAGAUGGAUCCGCGCCGCAUUAGCUAGUUGGUAAGGUAACGGCUUACCAAGGCGACGAUGCGUAGCCGACCUGAGAGGGUGAUCGGCCACACUGGAACUGAGACACGGUCCAGACUCCUACGGGAGGCAGCAGUAGGGAAUCUUCCGCAAUGGGCGAAAGCCUGACGGAGCAACGCCGCGUGAGUGAUGAAGGUCUUCGGAUCGUAAAACUCUGUUAUUAGGGAAGGACAAAUGUGUAAGUAACUAUGCACGUCUUGACGGUACCUAAUCAGAAAGCCACGGCUAACUACGUG